Long non-coding RNA from Hemiscyllium ocellatum (epaulette shark), 405 nucleotides. RefSeq lists it as uncharacterized. Lineage: Eukaryota; Metazoa; Chordata; Chondrichthyes; Orectolobiformes; Hemiscylliidae. The transcript is spliced from 3 exons. The record is from RefSeq and is a predicted model, not a curated record.
CCUCAUUGAAGCUGAUUGGUCAGCCAGAGAGAGAGAUGGAGAGGGAGAUCUGGAGCCUUCAGUAAAUCCUGCAGCCGGUACUCAGGAAGUUCCUGACUCAAUACACUUCCCAAUUGCUGGUUGUCUUGACCAACACCUCAUUGAAGAUGGUUGGUCAGCCAGAGAGACAAAGGGCAGGGAGAUGUGGAGCCUUCAAUAAAUCCUGCACUGAGGUAAUCAGGAAGUUGCUGACUCAAUAGACUUCCCAACUCCUGUGUGUCUCAUCCAUCGCCACAUUGAAGAUGGUUGGUCAGCCAGGGAGACAAAGGGCAGGGAGAUCUGGAACCUUCAAUAAAUCCUGCCGUGAGGUAAGAUCACUCACAGUGCACAGAGCAGGGAGCAAUGGGAGGGCUCCAAACAUCGGCU